CCUCUUCUGUCCCCAUGAGAUUCCCAUUUGCUGGUGUGUUAAGAUAAAUAUAUUCAAAACUCAGAUCCUCCCCACUUUUUUCUUUUUAAAAGAAGACCUUCCAGAUGCUAUUUGUUUUGUAUCCUAUCCAUUGUUCAAACUGAGAAAUUUUAGUGUCUUUGACAAUGUAGAUAAAGGAAAAUCGGAAUAGAUUGUCUUCUCUGCAUAGCAGUUAGUAAAGCAGUUUAUGAGGCUUAACCUGCUUUGUUUUUCCCUAUUUCUUCAUUCAUAUAUCAAACACAGAGGUAAAGAAACCAAAGUAUCAGAUGGAAUUUAUCUACGCUUUCACUCCGGAAAAGAACUUUUCUGUUAAGUCUGAGUCAUGUUGUCCCCAUGCUGUUUUAGGAACCUCACCCUCUGUUGCUGCUUUGUCGACGGUUCAGGUGCGUUUCAGGUGAACACAGAUUUGAUGCAAAGGGCUGUCCUGCCCUCCUCGUGUCAAUGCAGAGGUUUCCACUGACUUCAGUAUGAUCAGAUUUGGACUGCAAAAAUCCAGGCCAACUCUCAGCCUUUCUUUUGACUUCAAGAGGAAUUGCAAAAGGCCCUAAAUUGCUUCUUGCCUGUUACCGGUUGUUCAGCUGGAGGCCAUAUGAAGUGAAAGACCUCAGUCUCAUGGUGCCACUGAAAAGCCUGCAAAGCCAAGAUGAUGUGAAUACAUCAAGCUAAAUAUACAAGGAAACCAUGAAAAUUUUCCUGUGUUAACCCUUUUACGGAAAGUAUCAAUGGCAAUUGGCUUAUAGCAGCUAUUUUGUGCACCCGGCAAGUUUCUGCACCUCCCCAUGGAGGUUAUUGGGAACGUGGAAGUAGCCUAACAUGAGGGUUAAUAUCAGUAAUUUACCCCGUGGGAGUGCCAAGGAGUCCUCUGUGCAAGGUGCUGUACAAACAUGUAGCUACACACAGAAAACCUGCAGAGCAGCGACCUUCACGACGGUGGAUGUAUUUAAGAUUAUUCUUCUUCAUCCUUACAACUCCAGCUCAGCGCCAGAUCAACUCAGCUAUAUUCUUACUUUAGUUCUCCUGCAGGUUACCAGUUUUAACAGGCAGCUUUAAUUAUUUUUCUAAGUAAGCCAUAGAGGAAGAUCCGACAGUUGAGGUCUCUCUGCAGAAGGCCCCCAGCAAUCCCGGCGGAGUUUCAGAGCGGGAUCCACACUGCUAAAGCGUGGAGCCUCUCAGCAGCUGCCUGGUGGAGCCUGCUGCCUUAGGGAUUUCAUUUGCUUUUUACCACAACAUCGCUUCAUUUGUUUGUUUGCUUGUUUGUUUUUUCAAAGACAGUAUUAUUAAGUUGUUAAAUUACACCGUUUAAAAAGUAAUUUUAUAUUUUACCUUUUAAGCAGCUGUCAUUUGGGGAGACUCCUUUCAUAUUGAAGCCACUUGGGGCUAGCAUUACAUACAUGCUGUGAGAGAGGCCCUCAGACUUUAAGGACUUUCCAACAUAAGCAGACAAGCUAGACAAGGCCCUUUAUAACUCCCUGCUGGCAUACUUUUACCACAUAAGUGCAUCACUGAUACAUUGGUGUUAAUCCUAACCUGCAGUGUAGACAGAUCCCAGCAGCUCCAGCAUUAGGCAUGGGGAAAGUAGGCAGUUGCCUAACGCAGCAAAAUGCUGCAGGUGGCAAAAUACUGCUGUUGCUGGGCUGUCUUUGCUGCGCCAGCAUCUGGAAAAGCCCAGCUUUUGCAUGGAGCCUGCACCUUCGGGCUCUGCAGCCUCCCUAUGGCUAUCCACCAUUUCACCCACAGUCCCGGGCCUCUCGCUUGUGCUGCUUGUGUUGGCAGGGGUUGCUAAAAAUUGCUCUGGAGAUGUUAAAAGUUUCCAGGUUCUCAAAGGGACAUCAUCAAUAUUGUCCAGGUAAAGAGACUGAUAUCUAUCUAUAAUACAUGGUACUGUGAAACUGGACUAAAGUGCAAAAGCCACAGAACUGCAAAACUGCUGAAAACCUAUGAACAUGCAUUGUCUGAUUUUCUGUUGUGCAGUGCAGAUGAAAAUGGCAAGAUUUUUUCCCAACAAUUUGCAUAUCUGUAAAUGACUGCAAGGCUGCGUAGAAGGAGGCCAGCUGGAUUCAAUUAAAGAGAAAGGCUAUGCAGUUAAUCCCUGAUACAGAAAAAUAUUAAGAAUACCUAUAUUUAGCAGUGUACCCUCCCCUCUCCCGUGGGAUGAUCCGAACGGCUCCUUGCUGAACAGGAGCACCUGCGCACUGAUGCUGCACUAUCCUGGGGCUGGCUCAGAUGAGCUGAGGACAAGUAGUGCUUUUUCCUGGGCAAGGGACAAGAAGGACAGCUGAUGGAAACCUUAUAGAUACACAAUGACGUUUUUUCUUCAGCAGGUGUCAGAUAUAUAAAGAACAUACCAAAUGCCUCUGCUUGCCACAGCUUAUGGAAACCACAUAUCUGGCUUCUUGGGAGCAAUUUUAUUCUUUCUGAAGAGAUGCUGGUGAUCCAAAUUGUUGUUUUUCUGAAAAUGAAUUCUGUCUUGAACUUCCUGAUCUGAUGAGCUGAAGGUCACAAGCAUAUCUAUUUCAUUCUCCCUUCCCUCCGCUUGCGAAAAAUAAUUCCGUAACAAGGACCUGGAGGAUGAAGCUCUUCUAGCUUAAGACAGGGGUCCUCCAAAUGAAAAGUGCAAAGCAAUGGCUGCCAAUUUAAUUAGCUUUCACAGAUUCACACACAGAUGGAAGGAUUUUUGGAAGGAAAGAAUAUUUAAUACAAAUGAAUACUUUAUUUUUAAAAUAAAAGCACCAACUUUAUUUCCCACUGCUAAUGUUUCUGUCAGUCAGGUCAAGGAUAAUGAACCAAAAUUCUAGAAAGGUUCACUCAUACCUUAACUUUUAUUGUUGACAAUGUUCUCAUUCAUAAAACCUACAUUUGCAAAUGCAAAAUCAACAGUUAAAUGUUUGCUUUAUCUGUGUCUGUAAUUCUCCAAGGAGAGAGCUACGUUCUUUAUUUGGUUUUCACUUAUAACAUUCAGCUGAAGUUUUUUAAGGAAAAAGUCUUCUACACUUUUUACUGUUGUUACUAUUAUCUGUGGAUAAAUAUAUUCUUUGCUGUUAAUAGAGCAAGUAUUUUAAUUUCAUAACAAGAUCUUUUUCCAUAUGUGUCUCCAUUCAUGUUUUUGAUUUUUUUUGCCCAACUUUUAUAACACAGAAUUUUUACCUUCUAAUGAAAAGAAAAACCCUAUAAGGGAAGAUGGCCUCUGGAAUAAAAGAAAGUGGCCAAGGAAUGUGUUGUGGAAAGUAUUAGAUAUAUAUGAACAGUAUUGGAAAUAUAUUUUUAGCAGGACCUAGGUUACAUAUUUUAAGCAACUGCUUCAAGUAGACAAAGUAACUGCUAAAAGCAGGUGUUUAUUCCGAAAGCUGCAGCAAUGUUUUUCUGUCACAUUGCAUUAAAUCACUUAUGAUGCAUCAUGUUAUGUUAUACCACAUCAUGUUAGUACAUAUGGUGAAGAAGCCAGAGCAGAGUAACAUGAUGUGACAGACAACAUUUAGCAAAAAUAUUCACUUAUUUGACUCAGAUACUUGCUAUCAGGUUGAAUCAAGGAGUGUGGUCCUAAAUGAAGCUGACAGAUGGAAGUGAACUCAACCAGGAACUGUAUCCAAUGUAAAUCUGAAAGUUUCUUGUCAUAUCCCUGGUACUCAUCCUGCUGAUAGUUAUUACUAUCCUCAGUUCCUCUUUCUCAGCAUUUUCUUCCCUGCUGUAAGUAGUUUGACCAGUUGGUUGUCAUUUAUUUUGACAUAACUCAUGAUUUCCCCAUGAGGGGCUAAUCACAUCUCGGUAUCCUUUAAAAGCACUGUUAAAUGACAGUUAAUGACAGUUGAUGGAAUUGUCAUAAAUAGUUUUUAUAUGAGUGAAAUUAUUAUGAACUAUGCAAAAGAGUGCCCAGGCACUCUGUAGUUAUGUGUAUAGAAGGACUAUUUUAGGUAACAAGAAGUUUAUUCUUGAAGGCACCUAUAUUUUACAGUGUAGCAAAGUCUUUUUGACGCACUUAAGAAAUAUUGAGACCUUUUUACUGCUGUUGGGGGAACUAUUUCAUGGUAAUACUUCUAAAACAGUUUAGCAGUGGAGUGCAUGUUCAUGGAGAUGAGUAAGUAAAUCGAGUGGUCAAGUAUAACACAGGCAGCUGUGGUGCAGGCCUAGCCAUACACGGCUUUUGUAUGUGUCAGUCCUGAGCAAGGUGAUGGCCGUUCACCCAAAUAGUACAUACAGUACUAUUACAGAUUUUGGUACAAUCUGUCCCAACAGAUAUUAGGACGAGAAAACAGCAUGCCAAUGACCAAAGAGGACUUCAGUGAUGCUCCUGAAGUAGAUGGUUAACUUGCUAGUUAAGGGAGCAGUCUAACCCACUGCAUUAGAAAGGGAAACCUUCAAGUCAGAAGUGCAGACAAUAGAAAUGAGUUGCUUCAUUUCAGUUAAGAGAGAAGGUUGUUGAUCUCAGUCUACCACCACCAUGCCAAGGAGGUUUGCACAGCCAAGUGCCCGAAACAAGCUGUAUCUGCUGUUAGCUCUUUCUCUGCAGCCCAGUGCUCCGAAUCAAACUGCAUUUAUUUUUACUAGAUUGAAAUUGGGAAGUUUUGUGGCAAACUGUCAGUCUGUAGAGGAGCUAAAGAAACAAGCUCAAUGGCAUAAGGCCUGGGUAUUGAUGUGCAAAAAAUUUGUAUAUAGAUUUGAAGACUAUCCUUUUUCUCGUGACGAAGCCAAAGGGACAGGCCAAGCUGCCAAGUGAUUUUCUGCAUCCCACCAAUAUGGAUUAAGUACAUUAAAGUAACUCUAAAGAAAAGAACAAGAACAUACAAACAAUUUCCAGGAUCCUAAAAAGAAAGCUAUGAUUUUUAAAUCUAAGUUUGUAUUACAGUAGCAAUGCAUAGGAUCCAUGGUCCUUUGCUUUCUUACCCGUUACUGAGGGAAUUUUCAAGAUUCUUCUCAUUCAGCCAGGAACAUUUGCUGUUUGGUUUCCACUGGCAGCUUGCAACAUUUGUCCAGAUGCGUAUAAUAAAAAUAGUAAUAAAUACUAGCAAUAAUGCUAAUAAUUAAAAGAUGCACUGUAUAAACACCAUACGAACUGAAGCUUCUCUUUGGCUUCGUAAGAUGCUGCAUGUUUUCUGUUUAAUCUUCUCUUCUGUGCUUUAGCAAGGACCAUCAGUAACAGACCAAGAGCAGCCUGCUCCUUCCAGCAGCAGCGUCCUCACUUCCCCUUGGGGCAGGCUGGCCCUGAAGUACUCUUCAGCCUAGCACAGCAGUGUGAUAUGCUGGCACAGUGAGGUUCCCGGCAACGCGGACAGACAAGGGAGCACAACUGUCAGCCUCCUCCUUCCUGAGUUCCUUGCCUGCAAGAAUGUCUCUUCACAUGGAAAGCCAGCGGCCACUAAUUUGGGUCAGUUUUCAUAUUCUGGCAUUAAGGACCUGGAGCGGUCACUGCAGCGGAGCAGGGAGAGGUAACAACUGUCCCUUCCCUCCAAGAAAUGCAUAUACCUGUUACAUGCCUAAAAUGUGCAGAAUCCAUCUAUGGGUUCAGGAAGGUAUUAGCAUAUGGCCCAAAAGUAGCUGAGACAAAAUGGUAUAAUUGCAAAAGGAGAGGAAAAAAAGGAAUAAUUCUGACUAACAGUGGGUUUACUUUGAUCUGUGUCAUCUUAACCAGCAUCGUUAGAAUUUAUUGUAUUUGAGGAAUUCAUUCAGCCUGGCUCACAGGUAUUUUGGGGAAUAGGGCUGUUUUGCAUGACCCCCCCGAGAGUUCAGCAAAUGCCCUGCCCAGACGUGCUCUGUGAGAAGCCCCUAUUGCUGUCUCUUUGGGCUGACAUUGUUCACUGUUCUCAGGAAACCUCAGGAGCCUUUUUGCCUCGGGCAGCCUCAGGAAGAUGUGGUGAUGGGCUCAAUUUCGCAUCAGCGAUCUGCAAUCUCUGAUGAGUUCUCCAUGAAAUAAGAAAGUACUGGGGCCUAUUUGGGGGAAGCAGAGCAGGAAGCAUUUAUAGGGGAAGCUUCAGUACAGCUAGAGUCCAAAAAGUAAAAUGCAAUAUGGGUGCCGGAGGCUUUUCCCAGCAGCUGAGAGCUGAAAUGAAUGAACCCUCUCCCUAAUCCAAAGGGUAGCUAACUGGUAUCAUCAAAACAAAGCAAAAAAAGCCCCCAACCAAAGUCCACUCUCAGAAGCUCCUAUGCACUGAAAAGCCUGCACCAACUGUGGAAGCUGCCAGGUAUUUCUUUAAAUGCAAUCCUACAGCAUGGUGAAAUUACUGAAAAUAGAAAAGUGGGAAGGGUAGGUGGGAAAAUACAGUGGGUGGAGCCAUGCAGUUGUUUGGAAAAGGCAGAGAAGUUUGUACCAAGAAAUGAGCUGAUCCCAGCAGGUGAUAGGGACCUCAGUGUUCAGGAACCGGAAUGCAUCCCUGGCACAGCACUGUGGGGCAACAGUUCCCGAUGUGCCUUCAGACGAUGGCCAUCUUGCAUCAGUCUGGAGCCGAUCCUUUACAAGCCAUUUUGUGAAGUGUCAGAACACAUACAGAAACCCUGCCUUUUAUUCUCAGUUCACACUAGCCACUCCAUCUGCUUUUAAGAAAAUGCUUCUGCCUAACUGUGUGCACAAGUGCAUCGUACCUUGCUACUUGCUUUGAGAACUUGGCCCCUUGUGUGAAAGCAUUUUGUGAAGAGAAAUCCUUAGAGAAAGUGUGCUAUUGUCCUCUUACUUACCUGAUGAAAAAUAAUUAAAAAAUGAUUAAAUAAUUAAUACUGGAUGUUGCUUAGCAGUUGCUAAGAGGCUUAUUUAAUAUUUUUUGUAGCUUUUUUCCUAAUUUAGGAAUAAAACAGACAUAAUUGAGCAUGUUAUUCUGAAGCUGCAAAUGACUCUGUGGAGAGAAUCGAAGAAAACGUUUCUUUGAUUAGAAUAUUUUUCUCAUUAACAGGAUGUUCAAAAUAAAGCAAAAAUAUUUGAUGCACAGAGCCUGUGGCAAUAUCAAGUUAACACUGGCAUGCUCCCACAUUUUACCUCAUGUUUACUAAUCAAUCAAAAGACUUUUGCUGGCAAGAAAGAUCACAUCUUUAAUCACACAGCUGAAACUUCUUGACAUCAAACAAUAGGAAUUUCUACAUUCCAUUUAAUGUGGUUUUCAGCGCAGAGAGUUAAUGCCCAAGGUAGUGGGAUGGUGAGUAUGUGAUUAGGUAAACAAGUAGCGCUAUGUUCUCUAAAUGUUCAGUACUACAUACUAGAAGUGAGGAGAUCGCCUCAUUUGGUUCAAGAUACAUCUGCAUCUAAGUUCAAAUUAUUUAGAGAGGAUAAUCAAGAAAAUGUUUAGGUAGGCACCGGUGUGCAUUUUUGGUUCAGAUGCUUAUGUCAAGCUUAGAAAACACAUGCCCUGAUUGAGUCCAGGGUGCUGUAGAAAAAGGUAGCUGACAGGAUGCAAGCACCAGAUGCCCUUACUUCUCUCAGGCAGUGAAGAGAGUUAGAUAACGUUCCUGCUCCAUAUAUUCCUUCUCAAAUUCAUCUCAGGAUAGAAAAAGAAACCUGUAUGUCUCUAACAUAGCCUUGUAGUUCCUAGUCUUCCUCUCCAAAAAUUUUCUAAGAACUGUAACUUGAUACAGUGAAAUUCAUUGGUGGUUGAAAAAAAAAAUGCUGUGUUUUUCGUAAUAGAAGAAAUGGCCUAAGAGUUUCACAAGAAAAACAGCCCAAGUGUAAUUUCCCCUUUAUUCUAUCAUUGCUUUUUCUUGCCUUGCUACAGAAGAUGGAGAGAGGCAGCUGCCAUGUUGCAGAUUACAGGGCUAUUUCUCAGGCUGCACUAAGGGAGUAGGAAAUCUCCAUCUCUCUUCAGGGGGAUAUUUGCACCCAGCAGCGUGUGUGUGUAGGGGAUGUGUCAGAUGCUGACGAUAGAUGUGACCAGAGCAGGCUGGUCAGCAUUUAUCUUCGCCGACUAGCUGGCUGUUUCGUGAAAGUACCCAGCUGCUGCAAACUAGAGGCUUAGUCCCUUAAAACCAUGCCCUUGAAAGAGCUGGGGUGGAAUCAGAGGAGGAUCAGGAAAUAUCCCUGGGUUUGCUGGUUUUUCUUCCCCACUGUUUCUUGCAGGCAUGUCAGCCACCUCAGAGGACUCUCCUGGUCAGUGGCAAUAGCAGGACUUAGACUUACUCCCAGCCAGGAUUUUUACCCUCAGUCUCCCGGAGAAAUCAUUGGUAUGAAAAGAUGCACACAUUGCCUGCAGCUAUAGCACAUAUUGCAUGGCAUGACACACACAUAAGUGAGAUUAAUUCGAGUUCUGGGCAUCAUUAGCUCAAUUAAAACUGUGAUUUUUUAGUUCAGACCUACAGGCCAUUGCAGAGAAGAGUAAUCAUAAGACAAAAACGAGUUCCCUAGUUAAAAAUUAAUUCCCUAGACUAAAAAUAUAAUCAAAUGAUGUCUACAGUGUUUUAUGAAGAGCUAAGAGGAUAAUAAAACUUAAAGCACUGCAACAUUUGCAUUUUGUUCAUUUCUAUCCAUAUUUUUCCAUACACUGGCUUUCUGUGUGCUUGUUAAUCAUAUGCACUGCUACAGUCCUGGCAUUUUAAGAUCACUCUUCACAUCGAGAUUGAAAGGAAACUAAUUACAAUCACAUUUCAGGGUGGUUGUUUAAAGCUCGUACAGAGCUGACUACAGCAUAGGAGCCUUGACCUUUAUUUGUAAGCAAGAAAAUAAGGUAAAGAUGAAAGAUUGCUUUUCCUCCAGCUCAUAUCCCGGGAUCAAGAGGCCCUCCAGAGUGGAAAUGUGGGAAGCCCACAUGCAGCUCCUCUCGCUCGCCUUCUCUCUUGUGCUGGCAGCAGAGGCCAGUAGUGCUAUGCAGAAGCUGUGUGCUCCCGCAGCGAGAGGUGAAGGCAAGCACCGCACUAUUUUGCAGCUCUCCCUCAGGCUGCCAGAAGAACAAACAGUGAAUUAGCAGACCCAAGGAAUCUGUCAUUUUGACCUCUGUCCAACUGCUUUUAGUUAACGGUUUGCAUUGCAUACUGGUCAAUGGCAAAACCUUCCCUGGACUUUGGGCACAGCCUCAAAACCAAGAGCCUGAUGCUGCAAGCCGUCCUUGUGCCAUGAUCAAGGUAAUCCUCAUCCAUUCACACAUGGGCUGCUGCUGUGGGUGAGAGCUGCAAGCAUCACAGGAACCUAUCCUGCCUCUGAUACUUACGGUUUAAUAAUACUGACGGGAUCUGUGCAGAUGCAUCAGGGAAGUAUAAGGUCCCCCUAACCUGAGGAAAUGCAGGCAAUCCUAACACUAUGGCUGAUUUCAUUAAGUACAAACGUAUCUCGAGUGCACUGAAUGGCAAAUGUAUUCAGCAGGUUUAACCUGCUUCUGCGUCUCUGAAUUUUGAAAAUUAUGAUUUUAAUAAGUUUAUAACAUGCUCAAAAUAAACUGAGAGGUAUUUAUAUAAAAGGAUUUCAGCCUAGGAA
This is a long non-coding RNA of Dromaius novaehollandiae (emu), 9415 nucleotides long. RefSeq lists it as uncharacterized. The record is from RefSeq and is a predicted model, not a curated record. The transcript is spliced from 4 exons. NCBI's taxonomy places the organism in Eukaryota, Metazoa, Chordata, Aves, Casuariiformes, Dromaiidae.